This 66-nucleotide ribosomal RNA is filed under the name uncultured Lactarius. RNAcentral's name for it is "partial 28S ribosomal RNA". It matches the Rfam family "Eukaryotic large subunit ribosomal RNA", at positions 1 to 65 of the family's 3401-position model. Lineage: Eukaryota; Fungi; Basidiomycota; Agaricomycetes; Russulales; Russulaceae. The record is from RNAcentral.
UUGACCUCAAAUCGGGUGAGACUACCCGCUGAACUUAAGCAUAUCAAUAAGCGGAGGAAAAGAACU